UACGAGGGGGGCAAGCGUUGUCCGGAAUCACUGGGCGUAAAGGGCGCGUAGGCGGUCUCUUAAGCGUGUGGUGAAAGCCCGGGGCUCAACUCCGGGUCGGCCGUGCGAACUGGGGGACUGGAGCUUGUCAGAGGCAGGCGGAAUUCCGGGUGUAGCGGUGGAAUGCGUAGAGAUCCGGAAGAACACCGGUGGCGAAGGCGGCCUGCUGGGACAGUGCUGACGCUGAGGCGCGACAGCGUGGGGAGCAAACAGG
This 253-nucleotide ribosomal RNA is filed under the name uncultured bacterium. RNAcentral's name for it is "partial 16S ribosomal RNA". It matches the Rfam family "Bacterial small subunit ribosomal RNA", at positions 524 to 776 of the family's 1533-position model. The record is from RNAcentral.